AGCAUUUCAUCUCCAUGGGGGCCCCGCCAGGAAGGGACGCUCUAGUCACCACGCAGAUAAGAGAGACUGAGAUCAGGGCAGCAAGGCUGCUUGCCCAAAGUCUUGUAGACUGCGGUCCACCAGCACUGAGUUCCUGACCCACUAAUGGGCCCUGACCCGGAGUCUGAAACACACCACGGCUCGCUGACACCCACCAUUCAACACGGCAUUUCUGUGGGACAAUGCGCUUCGUGUUCUAAAAGAGAGACACAGCGAGAGAAGGAACACAAGCACGGGGAGUGGAAGAGGGAGAAGCAGGCUUCCCGCCGAGGAGGGAGCCCGAUGUGGGGCUCGAUCCCAGGACCCUGGGAUCGUGACCUGAGCCGAAGGCAGACGCCCAGCGACUGAACCACCCAGGCGCCCCAAAGUCUGUUUGCAUAUAAGCCAACCAGAUAUGGGUGAUGCUGUGCCGCAAUAUUUACACUUUCAUUAAAUGUC
Molecule: long non-coding RNA, 477 nt
Organism: Mirounga angustirostris (Northern elephant seal)
Lineage: Eukaryota; Metazoa; Chordata; Mammalia; Carnivora; Phocidae
Exons: 3
Source: RefSeq, a predicted model, not a curated record